CCUACGGGAGGCAGCAGUAGGGAAUAUUGCUCAAUGGGGGAAACCCUGAAGCAGCAACGCCGCGUGGCGGAUGAAGGUUUUCGGAUUGUAAACUCCUUUUGUUAGAGAAGAUAAUGACGGUAUCUAACGAAUAAGCACCGGCUAACUCCGUGCCAGCAGCCGCGGUAAUACGGAGGGUGCAAGCGUUACUCGGAAUCACUGGGCGUAAAGAGCGCGUAGGCGGGAUAGCAAGUCAGAUGUGAAAUCCUAGGGCUUAACCAUAGAACUGCAUUUGAAACUGGUAUUCUAGAGUAUGGGAGAGGUAGGUGGAAUUCUUGGUGUAGGGGUAAAAUCCGUAGAGAUCAAGAGGAAUACUCAUUGCGAAGGCGACCUGCUAGAACAUAACUGACGCUGAUGCGCGAAAGCGUGGGGAGCAAACAGGAUUAGAUACCCGGGUAGUC
Molecule: ribosomal RNA, 440 nt
Filed under: uncultured bacterium
Lineage: Bacteria
Description: partial 16S ribosomal RNA
Rfam family: Bacterial small subunit ribosomal RNA
Source: RNAcentral